GACGAACGCUGGCGGCGUGCUUAACACAUGCAAGUCGAACGGAAAGGCCCUGCUUGCAGGGUACUCGAGUGGCGAACGGGUGAGUAACACGUGGGUGAUCUGCCCUGCACUUCGGGAUAAGCCUGGGAAACUGGGUCUAAUACCGGAUAGGAGCCAUUUUUAGUGUGAUGGUUGGAUAGUUUUUUCGGUGUUGGAUGAGCUCGCGGCCUAUCAGCUUGUUGGUGGGGUAAUGGCCUACCAAGGCGGCGACGGGUAGCCGGCCUGAGAGGGUGGACGGCCACAUUGGGACUGAGAUACGGCCCAGACUCCUACGGGAGGCAGCAGUGGGGAAUAUUGCACAAUGGGCGCAAGCCUGAUGCAGCGACGCCGCGUGGGGGAUGACGGCCUUCGGGUUGUAAACUCCUUUCGCUAGGGACGAAGCUUUUUGUGACGGUACCUAGAUAAGAAGCACCGGCUAACUACGUG
This 465-nucleotide ribosomal RNA is filed under the name uncultured bacterium. Its description in RNAcentral is "partial 16S ribosomal RNA". It matches the Rfam family "Bacterial small subunit ribosomal RNA", at positions 28 to 507 of the family's 1533-position model. The record is from RNAcentral.